Molecule: ribosomal RNA, 446 nt
Filed under: uncultured bacterium
Lineage: Bacteria
Description: partial 16S ribosomal RNA
Rfam family: Bacterial small subunit ribosomal RNA
Source: RNAcentral
CCUACGGGUGGCAGCAGUCGAGAAUCAUUCACAAUGGGGGAAACCCUGAUGGUGCGACGCCGCGUGGGGGAAUGAAGGUCUUCGGAUUGUAAACCCCUGUCAUGUGGGAGCAAAUUAAAAAGAUAGUACCACAAGAGGAAGAGACGGCUAACUCUGUGCCAGCAGCCGCGGUAAUACAGAGGUCUCAAGCGUUGUUCGGAAUCACUGGGCGGAAAGCGUGUGUAGGCUGUUUCGUAAGUCGUGUGUGAAAGGCGCGGGCUCAACCCACGGACGGCACAGGAUACUACGAAACUAGAGUAAUAGAGAGGGAACCGGAAUUCUCGGUGUAGCAGUGAAAUGCGUAGAUAUCGAGAGGAACACUCGUGGCGAAGGCGGGUUCCUGGACAUUAACUGACGCUGAGGCACGAAGGCCAGGGGAGCGAAAGGGAUUAGAUACCCUGGUAGUC